ACGGUGGGGUAACGGCCCACCGUGCCAAUAAUCGGUAUGGGUCAUGAGAGUGAGAACCCAGAGACGGAAUCUGAGACAAGAUUCCGGGCCCUACGGGGCGCAGCAGGCGCGAAACCUUUACACUGCACGACAGUGCGAUAGGGGGAUCCCAAGUGCACAGGCAUAGCGCCUGUGCUUUUUCGGUACCGUAAGGUGGUACCAGAAUAAGGGCUGGGCAAGACCGGUGCCAGCCGCCGCGGUAAUACCGGCAGCCCAAGUGAUGGCCGAUCUUAUUGGGCCUAAAGCGUCCGU
Molecule: ribosomal RNA, 291 nt
Filed under: halophilic archaeon
Lineage: Archaea; Methanobacteriati; Methanobacteriota; Halobacteria; Halobacteriales
Description: partial 16S ribosomal RNA
Rfam family: Archaeal small subunit ribosomal RNA
Source: RNAcentral